This 253-nucleotide ribosomal RNA is filed under the name uncultured bacterium. Its description in RNAcentral is "partial 16S ribosomal RNA". It matches the Rfam family "Bacterial small subunit ribosomal RNA", at positions 524 to 776 of the family's 1533-position model. The record is from RNAcentral.
UACGUAGGGUGCAAGCGUUGUCCGGAAUUAUCGGGCGUAAAGAGCUCGUAGGCGGUUUGUUGCGUCGGCUGUGAAAUCCCGAGGCUCAACCUCGGGUCUGCAGUCGAUACGAGCAAACUAGAGUGUUGCAGGGGAGACUGGAAUUCCUGGUGUAGCGGUGAAAUGCGCAGAUAUCAGGAGGAACACCGGUGGCGAAGGCGGGUCUCUGGGCCGAUACUGACGCUGAGGAGCGAAAGCGUGGGGAGCGAACAGG